Molecule: unclassified non-coding RNA, 220 nt
Filed under: uncultured Thelephoraceae
Lineage: Eukaryota; Fungi; Basidiomycota; Agaricomycetes; Thelephorales; Thelephoraceae
Description: sequence contains ITS2
Source: RNAcentral
ACACCUCAACUCUUCAUGGUUUUCCAUGAUGAGCUUGGACUUUGGGGGUCUUGCUGGCCUGUGGUCAGCUCCUCUCAAAUGAAUCAGCUUACCAGUGUUUGGUGGGCAUCACAGGUGUGAUAACUAUCUGCGCUUGUGGUUUUCCACCAAGUAACCUUCAGCAGUGGAGGUUCACUGGAGCUCACAGAUGUCUCUCCUCAGUGAGGACAGCCCUUUGAAU